Molecule: ribosomal RNA, 492 nt
Filed under: uncultured bacterium
Lineage: Bacteria
Description: partial 16S ribosomal RNA
Rfam family: Bacterial small subunit ribosomal RNA
Source: RNAcentral
AGUGAACGCUGGCGGUAGGCCUAACACAUGCAAGUCGAACGGCAGCACAGUAAGAGCUUGCUCUUACGGGUGGCGAGUGGCGGACGGGUGAGGAAUACAUCGGAAUCUACUUUUUCGUGGGGGAUAACGUAGGGAAACUUACGCUAAUACCGCAUACGACCUACGGGUGAAAGCAGGGGAACUUCGGACCUUGCGCGAUUGAAUGAGCCGAUCUCGGAUUAGCUAGUUGGCGGGGUAAAGGCCCACCAAGGCGACGAUCCGUAGCUGGUCUGAGAGGAUGAUCAGCCACACUGGAACUGAGACACGGUCCAGACUCCUACGGGAGGCAGCAGUGGGGAAUAUUGGACAAUGGGCGCAAGCCUGAUCCAGCCAUACCGCGUGGGUGAAGAAGGCCUUCGGGUUGUAAAGCCCUUUUGUUGGGAAAGAAAAGCAGCAGGUUAAUACCCCGCUGUUCUGACGGUACCCAAAGAAUAAGCACCGGCUAACUUCGUG